UCGGAUUGCAGGCUGCAACCCGCCUGCAUGAAGUUGGAAUCGCUAGUAAUCGCGGAUCAGCAUGCCGCGGUGAAUACGUUCCCGGGCCUUGUACACACCGCCCGUCACACCAUGAGAGUCGGGAACACCCGAAGUCCGUAGCCUGACCGCAAGGGAGGCGCGGCCGAAGGUGGGUUCGAUAAUUGGGGUGAAGUCGUAACAAGGUACC
RNAcentral lists this ribosomal RNA (208 nucleotides) under uncultured bacterium. RNAcentral describes it as "partial 16S ribosomal RNA". It matches the Rfam family "Bacterial small subunit ribosomal RNA", at positions 1293 to 1500 of the family's 1533-position model. The record is from RNAcentral.